GCUUGCUCUUAUGAAGUUAGCGGCGGACGGGUGAGUAACACGUGGGUAACCUGCCCAUAAGACUGGGAUAACUCCGGGAAACCGGGGCUAAUACCGGAUAACAUUUUGAACCGCAUGGUUCGAAAUUGAAAGGCGGCUUCGGCUGUCACUUAUGGAUGGACCCGCGUCGCAUUAGCUAGUUGGUGAGGUAACGGCUCACCAAGGCAACGAUGCGUAGCCGACCUGAGAGGGUGAUCGGCCACACUGGGACUGAGACACGGCCCAGACUCCUACGGGAGGCAGCAGUAGGGAAUCUUCCGCAAUGGACGAAAGUCUGACGGAGCAACGCCGCGUGAGUGAUGAAGGCUUUCGGGUCGUAAAACUCUGUUGUUAGGGAAGAACAAGUGCUAGUUGAAUAAGCUGGCACCUUGACGGGACCUAACCAGAAAGCCACGGCUAACUACGUGCCAGCAGCCGCGGUAAUACCUAGGUGGGAAGCGUUAUCCGGAAUUAUUGGGC
This 498-nucleotide ribosomal RNA is filed under the name Bacillus pseudomycoides. Its description in RNAcentral is "bacterial SSU rRNA". It matches the Rfam family "Bacterial small subunit ribosomal RNA", at positions 78 to 559 of the family's 1533-position model. Lineage: Bacteria; Bacillati; Bacillota; Bacilli; Caryophanales; Bacillaceae. The record is from RNAcentral.